RNAcentral lists this long non-coding RNA (820 nucleotides) under Anas platyrhynchos platyrhynchos (common mallard). RNAcentral describes it as "lncRNA (ENSAPLG00000029417.1)". Lineage: Eukaryota; Metazoa; Chordata; Aves; Anseriformes; Anatidae. The record is from RNAcentral.
CUAAUACCAAGAGGUCCAAGAGGAUUUGCCACUCUAUAAAAGCUUUGGGAUGGUUUAUCUUUGUAAGUGUUAGAGGAAUGGACUAUAAUCAAAACAUUCAGAGGUGCUUUGCAGAUAUUUCUGAUUUCAUGCAUACCAGUGAUGCCGUGUGAACUGAAGUGUGACUGUAUCCAAAGUCUGUGGAUAUUUGGAUUUCCGUUUAAAGCUUAGGACAAUCCAUUUUACCUGGAUUGUUGCUGCCUUUGAAGACCUGUGAACAUUUUUUUUUUCUUUUGAAGUGAUUAUAUUGUACUUCUUGGUAUGUAACUGAAUGCCAUUUGUAUGUGCAGGCAUACAGACUGAGUCUAUGGAUGAAGAUGUUAAAGUACUCUCGCUCCUACCCUGUAAUCUUGAUUUUGGGACACUGAUAUUACCAGAUAAGGAGAACAGGGAUUUGAUCCAAGGACUGCUGAAGACACUGUCUCAUGCUUCACAGGCAUGUUGAUCUGGGCCUUGCAGAGAGGUAGAAGAAACUUGCUGUGUUCACAACAUAGAGGAUUCUAUUAGCUGUGUAUAUUUUUUUAGCGUAGUGAGCUAUAAAUGCAUUAAAGUUUUUAUGAAUUCAUAUUAUUUUAAAGAGCUUCUAAAUCUCGUAUCCAACUAUUCUAUACAUGAUAUUUACUCUGUGUAGUACUUGUUAGAUGAUGUAACCAGUUAACCUAGGCUAUUAAGCUCAUAUGAACCCAGAAAAAUGGGACGUGAAAGAAACCUUUGCCAAAUUAUUCAAGUGAGAACAUUUUCUAAUAGAGUUUUGAGCUCCUGAUCUUGUCCUUUCAGUGCU